RNAcentral lists this unclassified non-coding RNA (205 nucleotides) under uncultured Actinomycetes bacterium. RNAcentral describes it as "uncultured actinobacterium contains 16S-23S intergenic spacer region". The stretch from base 71 to 193 matches the Rfam family "Bacterial small subunit ribosomal RNA", at positions 1058 to 1182 of the family's 1533-position model. The record is from RNAcentral. Lineage: Bacteria; Bacillati; Actinomycetota; Actinomycetes.
UCCGAGUUGACCCCGGCAGUCUCCUGCGAGUCCCCGCCAUUACGCGCUGGCAACACAGGACAAGGGUUGCGCUCGUUGCGGGACUUAACCCAACAUCUCACGACACGAGCGCAACCCUCGCCUUUAGUUGCCAGCAUUGAGUUGGGCACUCUAGAGGGACUGCCGGUGAUAAGCCGGAGGAAGGUGGGGAUGACGUUCGUCUGAC